RNAcentral lists this ribosomal RNA (301 nucleotides) under uncultured bacterium. RNAcentral's name for it is "partial 16S ribosomal RNA". It matches the Rfam family "Bacterial small subunit ribosomal RNA", at positions 509 to 807 of the family's 1533-position model. The record is from RNAcentral.
CAGUAGCCGCGGGAAUACGUAGGGUGCAAGCGUUAAUCGGAAUUACUGGGCGUAAAGCGUGCGCAGGCGGUUUUGUAAGACAGAGGUGAAAUCCCCGGGCUCAACCUGGGAACUGCCUUUGUGACUGCAAGGCUAGAGUACGGCAGAGGGGGAUGGAAUUCCGCGUGUAGCAGUGAAAUGCGUAGAUAUGCGGAGGAACACCGAUGGCGAAGGCAAUCCCCUGGGCCUGUACUGACGCUCAUGCACGAAAGCGUGGGUAGCAAACAGGAUUAGAUACCCCCGUAGUCCCUGUCUCUUAUAC